AACGAACGCUGGCGGCAGGCCUCAAACAUGCAAGUCUAGGGGGUGUAGCAAUACAUCACCGGCGGACGGGUGCGUAACACGUGGGAAUGUACCUAGUGGUUCGGAACAACUCAGGGAAACUUGAGCUAAUACCGGAUGAGCCCGAAAGGGGAAAGAUUCAUCGCCAUUAGAUCAGCCCGCGUAGGAUUAGCUUGUUGGUGAGGUAACGGCUCACCAAGGCGACGAUCCUUAGCUGUUCUGAGAGGAAGAUCAGCCACACUGGGACUGAGACACGGCCCAGACUCCUACGGGAGGCAGCAGUUGGGAAUCUUGGACAAUGGGGGAAACCCUGAUCCAGCCAUGCCGCGUGAGUGAUGAAGGCCUUAGGGUUGUAAAGCUCUUUUAC
Molecule: ribosomal RNA, 385 nt
Filed under: uncultured bacterium
Lineage: Bacteria
Description: bacterial SSU rRNA
Rfam family: Bacterial small subunit ribosomal RNA
Source: RNAcentral